CCUACGGGAGGCAGCAGUGGGGAAUAUUGGACAAUGGGCGAAAGCCUGAUCCAGCAAUGCCGCGUGAGUGAUGAAGGCCUUAGGGUUGUAAAGCUCUUUUACCAGGGAUGAUAAUGACAGUACCUGGAGAAUAAGCUCCGGCUAACUCCGUGCCAGCAGCCGCGGUAAUACGGAGGGAGCUAGCGUUGUUCGGAAUUACUGGGCGUAAAGCGUGCGUAGGCGGCUAUUCAAGUCAGAGGUGAAAGCCCGGGGCUCAACCCCGGAACGGCCUUUGAAACUAGGUAGCUAGAAUCUUGGAGAGGUUAGUGGAAUUCCGAGUGUAGAGGUGAAAUUCGUAGAUAUUCGGAAGAACACCAGUGGCGAAGGCGACUAACUGGACAAGUAUUGACGCUGAGGUACGAAAGCGUGGGGAGCAAACAGGAUUAGAUACCCUGGUAGUCCACGCCGUAAACGAUGAUAACUAGCUGUCCGGGCACUUGGUGCUUGGGUGGCGCAGCUAACGCAUUAAGUUAUCCGCCUGGGGAGUACGGUCGCAAGAUUAAAACUCAAAUGAAUUGACGGCUGAGAGNGCGAGCGACGACGAGGAGAG
RNAcentral lists this ribosomal RNA (589 nucleotides) under uncultured bacterium. RNAcentral's name for it is "bacterial SSU rRNA". It matches the Rfam family "Bacterial small subunit ribosomal RNA", at positions 338 to 944 of the family's 1533-position model. The record is from RNAcentral.